GCCCAAACGGGUUCUGUACCUGGCGCCCGCGUCCAUCCUCGGGGAGAGCGUGUCUGGUAUUAAGUUGUCGGGCUCGGGACCCCCGUCAUUUACUGUGAGCAAAAUAGAGUGUUCAAAGCAGGCUUAUGCCAUGAUUACAUUAGCAUGGAAUAAUAAGAUAAGACCUUGGUCUAUUUUGUUGGUUUGCAUUCCAUGGUAAUGAUUAAUAGGGAUAGUUGGGGGUAUU
RNAcentral lists this ribosomal RNA (226 nucleotides) under uncultured eukaryote. RNAcentral's name for it is "partial 18S ribosomal RNA". The stretch from base 86 to 226 matches the Rfam family "Eukaryotic small subunit ribosomal RNA", at positions 748 to 892 of the family's 1831-position model. The record is from RNAcentral.